Molecule: transfer RNA, 76 nt
Filed under: Candidatus Moranbacteria bacterium RIFCSPHIGHO2_02_FULL_40_12b
Lineage: Bacteria; Candidatus Moraniibacteriota
Description: tRNA-Thr
Rfam family: tRNA
About the family: Transfer RNA (tRNA) molecules are approximately 80 nucleotides in length. Their secondary structure includes four short double-helical elements and three loops (D, anti-codon, and T loops).
Source: RNAcentral
GCCCGGGUAGCUCAGUCGGCAGAGCAACUCCAUGGUAAGGAGUAGGCCACCGGUUCAAAUCCGGUCUCGGGCUCAA